UACGAGUGCCUCAAGCGUUAUCCGGAAUCAUUGGGCGUAAAGGGUGUGUAGGUGGCUUUGUUAGUCUUCUGUUAAAUUCUUCGGCUUAACCGGGGGCAUGCAGAGGAAACGGCAAAGCUAGAGGAUGGGAGAGGUUUGCGGAACUCAUGGUGUAGGGGUGAAAUCCGUUGAUAUCAUGGGGAACACCAAAAGCGAAGGCAGCAAACUGGCCCACUCCUGACACUGAAACACGAAAGCGUGGGUAGCGAAUGGG
RNAcentral lists this ribosomal RNA (253 nucleotides) under uncultured bacterium. Its description in RNAcentral is "partial 16S ribosomal RNA". It matches the Rfam family "Bacterial small subunit ribosomal RNA", at positions 524 to 776 of the family's 1533-position model. The record is from RNAcentral.